RNAcentral lists this ribosomal RNA (497 nucleotides) under uncultured bacterium. RNAcentral describes it as "partial 16S ribosomal RNA". It matches the Rfam family "Bacterial small subunit ribosomal RNA", at positions 28 to 507 of the family's 1533-position model. The record is from RNAcentral.
GAUGAACGCUGGCGGCGUGCCUAAUACAUGCAAGUCGAGCGGACGGACGCGGAGCUUGCUUCUCGGAUGUUAGCGGAGGACGGGUGAGUAACGCGUGGAUAACCCACCUAUCAGACUGGGAUAACUACGAGAAACCGUAGCUAAUACCGGAUAAUCUCUUGAACCGCAUGGGUCAAAAGUGAAAGACGGUCUUGCUGUCACUUCUAGAUGGAUCUGCGCUGCAUUAGCUAGUUGGUAAGGUCAAGGCUUACCAAGGCAACGAUGCAUAGCCGACAUGAGAGGGUGAUCGGCCACACUGGAACGGAGACACGGUCCAGACGCCUACGGGAGGCAGCAGUAGGGAAUCUUCCGCAAUGGGCGAGAGCCUGACGGAGCAACGCCGCGUGAGUGAUGAAGGUCUUCCGAGCGUGAUACUCUGUUACGAGGGAAGAACAUAUGUGUAAUUAACUGUGCACAUCUUGACGGUACCGAAUAAGAAAGCCCCGGCUAACUACGUG